CAGCCGACGGUAAUACGUAGGUGGCAAGCGUUGUCCGGAAUUAUUGGGCGUAAAGCGCGCGCAGGCGGCUUCUUAAGUCCAUCUUAAAAGUGCGGGGCUUAACCCCGUGAUGGGAUGGAAACUGAGAGGCUGGAGUAUCGGAGAGGAAAGUGGAAUUCCUAGUGUAGCGGUGAAAUGCGUAGAGAUUAGGAAGAACACCGGUGGCGAAGGCGACUUUCUGGACGACAACUGACGCUGAGGCGCGAAAGCGUGGGGAGCAA
This 260-nucleotide ribosomal RNA is filed under the name uncultured bacterium. RNAcentral describes it as "partial 16S ribosomal RNA". It matches the Rfam family "Bacterial small subunit ribosomal RNA", at positions 512 to 771 of the family's 1533-position model. The record is from RNAcentral.